AUGUGCAGCAGAUCCAUCAUGCAUGAGUACUUUCUCUUGCAUCAAAUCUAUCUCAUAUGUCAUGAGGUAGGAGAGAGAUCUUGGAGGAGUGAAUGCAUAAGAGGGGGGGUGUUUACCUGUGUUUUUUCUGCAUCUCCAGCCAGAUUUGUGUCCCAGAUCAUGGAGGAAUUGCCCUCUCUGGUGUGGACCCAUAAGUGGAUUUACAUUGUAAUUCCUACUGGAUUUACAGUGUUUUUCUUAGUGGAUAUCCAGUGUAAUUCCAAGUGGAUUUACACUGUAAUUACUACUGGAUUUACAGUGUUUUUCCUAGUGGGUUUCCACUGUAAUUCUAAGUGGAUUUACAUUGUAAUUCCUACUGGAUUUACAAUGUUUUUCUUAGUGGAUUUACACUGA
Molecule: ribosomal RNA, 393 nt
Filed under: Triticum aestivum (bread wheat)
Lineage: Eukaryota; Viridiplantae; Streptophyta; Magnoliopsida; Poales; Poaceae
Description: partial small subunit ribosomal RNA
Source: RNAcentral